GUGCCAGCCGCCGCGGUAAUACGGAGGGUGCAAGCGUUAUCCGGAUUUAUUGGGUUUAAAGGGUCCGUAGGCGGAAAAUUAAGUCAGUGGUGAAAUCCUGCAACUCAACUGUAGAAUUGCCAUUGAAACUGAUUUUCUUGAAUAUGUACGAAGUGGGCGGAAUAUGACAUGUAGCGGUGAAAUGCUUAGAUAUGUCAUAGAACACCGAUUGCGAAGGCAGCUCACUAGUCCAUUAUUGACGCUGAGGGACGAAAGCGUGGGGAGCGAACAGGAUUAGAAACCCUGGUAGUCC
This 292-nucleotide ribosomal RNA is filed under the name uncultured bacterium. Its description in RNAcentral is "partial 16S ribosomal RNA". It matches the Rfam family "Bacterial small subunit ribosomal RNA", at positions 505 to 796 of the family's 1533-position model. The record is from RNAcentral.